Dromaius novaehollandiae (emu) is the source of this 865-nucleotide long non-coding RNA. The record is from Ensembl. Lineage: Eukaryota; Metazoa; Chordata; Aves; Casuariiformes; Dromaiidae.
UGUAACCCUCAGAGUGUGAGGCAGAAUUUAUUCUUAAUUGUGCAAAUAUUUGCUAUAAGCUACAGUGAGCAACAUUCCACAAUCUUGGAUAUACAGAGACUGAAAGAAGGUAUGAAAGGGCUUGUGGAAGGCAAUCCCCACAAAUUGUCUCACUUGACAGGACUGGAGGAAAAGAUGAGACAUGGAACCAGCUUGCCAAUGCAUAAGUUUACUUUCUUUCCUGUUUCCAAGACCUGYGCAAUGCAAGAGACACAUUUUCAAGACAGUUAAGGACUUCCAGAACUCUCUCACCCAGAUCUGAGUGUUAUCCGCUGCUCUAAUAAAACAGCCUGCCAUAAUUAAUCAGCACUAUUUCUGGAAAAACAAAUUGCAGUUUAUGUUGAAGAUGAUAUGAGCAGAUAUACACACUUUGCUGGACUUUAUCACAGUUACCCUGAAGGGUACGCAUAGUUUGUGUUAGAGCACAGCAAGGAAGUGUGCACACUUAUGAGAAAAUAAGGACAUGUGAGAUGAAGCUUGUGGGGAGAAAUUGCCAUUUACAAAUGUCACUUGACAUUGAGUGCUGCAGUGACGGAUCAUCACCUGACAGCUUCUCCUGCAGUUGUUGCUUUGAUGGCAUACGUGACAAGCUGCUCUGUUUCRCGUUUUCCAGCAUGCAGAGUCUAGCAGAUGGAGGCAUACUUUCUUCACAGAUAAAACAUCCUAACGUAUGCGACGAAGAACUCAUGAAUGCUCUCAAGGCAGGUGACACCUAACUCCUGAGACAUGGUCACCCUCUCCCGACACUGCAGGUCACUGGAGGAGGGAAGAUGGGGAGCCUGUGCUCACCCUCCCGCUGCCUUCUGCAAACUGCAGUGCUGGAGUA